AGAACGAACGCUGGCGGCAGGCCUAACACAUGCAAGCCGAGCGCUGUAGCAAUACAGAGCGGCGCAUGGGUGAGUAACACGUGGGAACGUGCCCUUUGGUUCGGAAUAACUCAGGGAAACUUGAGCUAAUACCGGAUGAGCCCUAACGGGGAAAGAUUUAUCGCCGAGGGAGCGGCCCGCGUUGGAUUAGCUAGUUGGUGGGGUAAAAGCCUACCAAGGCGACGAUCCAUAGCUGGUUUGAGAGAACGACCAGCCACACUGGGACUGAGACACGGCCCAGACUCCUACGGGAGGCAGCAGUGGGAAUCUUGGACAAUGGGGGAAACCCUGAUCCAGCCAUGCCGCGUGAGUGAUGAAGGCCCUAGGGUUAGUAAAACUCGUUUCGGCGGGACGAUAAUGACCGGUACCGCAGAAGAAGCUCCGGCUAACUUCGU
Molecule: ribosomal RNA, 434 nt
Filed under: uncultured soil bacterium
Lineage: Bacteria
Description: bacterial SSU rRNA
Rfam family: Bacterial small subunit ribosomal RNA
Source: RNAcentral